RNAcentral lists this ribosomal RNA (254 nucleotides) under uncultured bacterium. Its description in RNAcentral is "partial 16S ribosomal RNA". It matches the Rfam family "Bacterial small subunit ribosomal RNA", at positions 524 to 776 of the family's 1533-position model. The record is from RNAcentral.
UACGAAGGGGGCUAGCGUUGUUCGGAUUUACUGGGCGUAAAGCGCACGUAGGCGGAUCGUUAAGUCGGGGGGUGAAAUCCUGGAGCUCAACUCCAGAACUGCCUUCGAUACUGGCGAUCUUGAGUCCGGAAGAGGUGAGUGGAAUUCCUAGUGUAGAGGUGGAAUUCGUAGAUAUUAGGAAGAACACCAGUGGCGAAGGCGGCUCACUGGUCCGGUACUGACGCUGAGGUGCGAAAGCGUGGGGAGCGAACAGG